AGAAGGAAAGUUCGGAAGAGAGUGUCGCGAAAAGGAGAAUCAUUACUAGCUUUGGAUGGAAUUUCUGUUUUGACAGAGAUGAAGACAUUUUACGCCCCGGUACUGCGUUGCAUGCAGUGGACUGUGCCUGAGACGAUUCCCAUAGCGCCGGCGAAUAGUCAGCUUGUAUAAAUGGAAUCUGAAUGCUCACAAGAAGGACAAAUGCAGUAUGGAAAUUAACACAAAGAAAUUGUGCCAGAAAAGUAAGUGUCUACGGGAACAAUCAACAUCGAACUUUCUGAGCCUUCCUACUUAAACUAAAGUGAAUUCAUUUGUGAAUUUCAUGGGAUAUCAGUGAGGAAGUGAUUCAAGCAGACACUUGAGAAAUUUCGGAUCUAACUUAUAAAUUAGGAUCUUUGGCAUAUUCGGGGAAAAUAGCGUGACUGUGUUGAUUUUAUGGGAUCUUUUUAUUAAUAUAGUUGUAGUGGAUAUUUUGUCUUAAUACAUGUGUUUGUCACUCUAGUCUAGUCAUUAACUUUGUACGGUAAAUGUUCAUGGGCAACUGGAAGUUCAUUGUAACAGUAUACCCCGUUGAGGUUUCAAUGACCUCUCCCAAUGUUAUUAAGUCAAAUGUCAUAUUUUAAAAAAAGAAAUAGUUUGUUUUAUUACAAAGAAAUGUUGAUCAGUGAGAAUACUUAGAAAAAAAUAUGCUUACAUUGUACAUCUAUAAGUGUAUAUGUAAUAUUUGUUUGAAAACACAUUGUGAAAGAAACAAUUUUUUUUAAUUUUGAAAAUAUAGAUUUGAUCUAUGAUAAAUUGAACAUUAAUUGAAUUGAAUUCAGUUUUCAUUGUAUCUUCCUGGAAUUUCUUAGAUUUCAAUGGAAUUCCAUAGAUUUCUAAAUAUCCUUGUGCACAGAUAUGUUGGGCCACCAUAAGAAUUA
Molecule: long non-coding RNA, 920 nt
Organism: Saccostrea cuccullata (small rock oyster)
Lineage: Eukaryota; Metazoa; Mollusca; Bivalvia; Ostreida; Ostreidae
Exons: 4
Source: RefSeq, a predicted model, not a curated record